GAUGAACGCUGGCGGCGUGCCUAAUACAUGCAAGUCGAGCGAACAGACGAGGAGUUUGCUCCUCUGACGUUAGGGGCGGACGGGUGAGUAACACGUGGAUACCCUACCUAUACGACUGGGAUCACUUCGGGAAACCGGCGAUUAUACCGGAUAAUAUAUUAAACCGCAUGGUUUAAUAGUGAAAUACGGUUUUGUUGUUACUUAUAGAUGGUUCCUCGUCGUAUUAGCUUUGUGGUAUGGUAACGCCCUACCAAGGCAACGAUGAGUAGCCGACCUGGAGGGGGGAUCGGCAACACUGGAACGGAGACACGGUCCAGACUCCUACGGGAGGCAGCAGUAGGAAAUCUUCCGCAAGGGGCGAAGGCCUGACGGAGCAACGCCGCGUGAGUGAUGAAGGUCUUCGGAUCGUAAAACUCUGUUAAUAGGGAAGAACAAAUGUGUAAGUAACUAUGCACGUCGUGACGGUACCUUAUCAGAAAGCCACGGCUAACUACGUG
RNAcentral lists this ribosomal RNA (497 nucleotides) under uncultured bacterium. RNAcentral describes it as "partial 16S ribosomal RNA". It matches the Rfam family "Bacterial small subunit ribosomal RNA", at positions 28 to 507 of the family's 1533-position model. The record is from RNAcentral.